AUAACCAGAUGGGCUUAUUAACGAACAAAACAGAAAAUGGCGUCAAUAAUUAUCCCAACAUCAUCUUCAACCUUGUUCUUCACUUCCAGCCACAAAUCUCACAAGAAACAUCAUCAUAUUCAACAUAUAAAUACUGCCAUUAAAGCACAAAACAACCCCUCUUCAUCAGAAGAAGAAGAACCAACUAAAUCCCCUCAAGGGUUUGGCCCAUCUUCAAUUCCAAAGGCGAAGGCUAAAACAAAAGAAAGAGCUAGAAUUAUUCGUCGAGAACCUGUCGAAACCGACCCGAGAUUCGUAUCGAAGAAAGAAAAGAAUGAGAAGAUGGUAAAGGAAGAGGAGCAAGGGAGUAAUGAGCGAGCUUUUUUGCUUACUUGGUUGGGUUUAGGUUCUUUGAUUAUUGUUGAGGGUCUUGCUCUUGCUGUUUCGGGUUUUCUUCCAGAAGAAUGGGAUGCUUUGUUUGUCAAGUACCUUUAUCCAUCAUUUACCCCAACUGUAUUCUUGUUCGUUGCUGGAACCGUUGUCUAUGGUGUGGUGAAGUACCUGGAAAACGAGAAACCGGGUAGCUCAAGUUGAUCAUCACAUGUAAUCUUGUCUUAAGACUCUAUCUUGUCGAUAGGUGACUUUUGCAGCCCCUAUAGAUUUCGGUCUGAUUUGGACUGUAAACAUGUCUACAACGUUUGUGCAUCCACGUAUCCAAGUAGAAACCCAGCAGUAGAGAUAGCAAAAAUGGGUGGUUGGGCAAGCUCCGCAACAGGUCGAAACUGGUCCUGGUCGGAACGUGUAAUUCUUUACUGUGAGUGAAGAUGGACCACCAGGCUGGGUUGAUUUAGCUCAUUAACAGUUCUGCUUCAUUUUUCUUUAAAUUUCUAAAUUAUAAGAUUUACUGAAUGUGAUAAGAUUUAUGCUAUCAAGAUAUUAAACUGAUUUUUUUAGCGAAAUGUAUACAAGCAGGCCCGCUUUAAACUUGUUUAUCCGAAUUUGACCCGAACUGUGUCAAUCAUAUGACUUUGGCAGUGGGUUAAAAAUGAAACUCACAGCCAAGUCAGCAUUUUACACUUUUGAAUACCUUAUUUAAGUUUACCCGCUUGACCCACUAAACAUGACAUCUAACCCAAAAUUAACCCAUUUUGUCAAAAUUGCGACAUGUACAUAGAAGGAUGGUAUCCUUCAGAGUAAACUAGGGUCUGCAGGUGUUAGCCCCGUGCCCUGAAUACAAAAGCUUGUGAUAGUUGGAUGACAAUUCUCUUGUCUUAUCUAUUUAUAUGUAUGAUAUUUUUAUGCUAUGGUCAGACUUGUAUGUACGCCACAAUUAAAAGUUGCAGGAUGGAGUAGGACCUUUUGAGUUUUGACAAUAACCAGUAUAUGUCUCAUCUUCAUGAGCAGCCACCAAAAUAAGACUUUGCGCCAAAGCAGUCACUGAAAGGCUCCUGCAAAGUAUUAGUUCCUGAGAAACACAUCCAUUUGAUUUAAUUUAGUAUCUACAUAUACCAUGAGACAAAACUUAACUUGAAUUGCCACAUUCAUGCUUAAAUGGGUCAUAUGUGCCACCUCUAUCCGAUAUCAUAUACACUUGAGGUCUACUUCAGGAAGAAUGGGAUGCUUUGUUAGUAACUUAUCGUUGCGCUUCAUAUACAAGUAGUAAGCUCUAUGUUAUCGGUAGCUAACUGCUGUGAAUUGUAAAUCUUAUGAAUGUUGGGUUAUCUAUCUAUAAUUUCUCCUAAAAA
This is an RNA transcript of Erigeron canadensis, 1724 nucleotides long. It is a transcript of the gene named protein LPA2, with no coding region annotated. The record is from RefSeq and is a predicted model, not a curated record. The transcript is spliced from 5 exons. Lineage: Eukaryota; Viridiplantae; Streptophyta; Magnoliopsida; Asterales; Asteraceae.